This 74-nucleotide transfer RNA is filed under the name Culex quinquefasciatus (southern house mosquito). RNAcentral describes it as "tRNA-Thr". The stretch from base 8 to 65 matches the Rfam family "tRNA", at positions 8 to 63 of the family's 71-position model. From Rfam's summary of the family: Transfer RNA (tRNA) molecules are approximately 80 nucleotides in length. Their secondary structure includes four short double-helical elements and three loops (D, anti-codon, and T loops). Further hydrogen bonds mediate the characteristic L-shaped molecular structure. tRNAs have two regions of fundamental functional importance: the anti-codon, which is responsible for specific mRNA codon recognition, and the 3' end, to which the tRNAs corresponding amino acid is attached (by aminoacyl-tRNA synthetases). tRNAs cope with the degeneracy of the genetic code in two manners: having more than one tRNA (with a specific anti-codon) for a particular amino acid; and 'wobble' base-pairing, i.e. permitting non-standard base-pairing at the 3rd anti-codon position. The record is from RNAcentral. Lineage: Eukaryota; Metazoa; Arthropoda; Insecta; Diptera; Culicidae.
UCAGACUUGGCCAAAUGGUUAAGGUGUCCGCUUUGUAAGUGGAUGAUCAUGGGUUCGAUGCCCAUCUGCCUUAA